CCUUUCCAUCCUCCUUUAUUCCAGGCCUGCCUUGAGAACAAAAAUCCCUUCCAAUGAUACGCCUGAGCUGUGCAGGCUCAGCUUGAUAUGUACAGUGUGGUCCAAAUCAUUUGAAGUUUGCAGGUCACCAGCUGCCAUGGUGUGUGUCAAACACCUGACCUGAAUCUUUCCAAUUAACUAAUAAUGUACUGCCCUCAGGUGAUGUUGGCGACUCCUCUAUUCUUCCCGCAGCAGGACAACUGGCGGACUUAGGGCCUUUGAUGAGCUGCAGACUGUGACCUCUUGCUUGGUUAAGGGAAUCAGUGAAUAAGGCCCAGCUGUUGCUUGUAAGGUAGAGCUCUGGAGUGAAGGUUUAAAGAGAGUUCUAGAAUGUAGUGAGCUCUUUUUCUAGCAGGAGAUGGGUUGGGCAGGAGAUGGGUUGGUUUAGUUUUCUUCCCUUUUUUGAUCCCAGUCAGUUGUAUGUAGCGAGUGCUUACUGUGUGCAGAGAACUGUAUUAAAUGUGUGGGGAUGGUGCAGUAUAACAGGUUUGGUAGACAUCUUCUCUGCUUAGAAAGAGUUUCCCCUUGUUAUUGUUAGUGGGUCUGUUCUGGGUUUAAUGGUGGUCCAGGCUAAAGUUUUCAAUGUCUUCACUGGGCUUCAUCAACUGUUUAAGUGGCCUCUAAAUUGGAAGGGACCUGAGGACCUUGUCCCCCCUAUUCCCUCCACUCCUUAAAGUCAGGAAAGAGCCUCUGAAUGGAUUGGAGUGAGAUGAUAUAGAGGGGUGGGCCUGUUCCCUAGAAGACUCAUUCUUGGAGAAGCUGUCUGAACAAAAAUGUAGAGGCGGAGCGCUUCUCUGCCAGCAGGCUGGGGGAGCGAGCGUAGGGGCCGCUCUCCCCGCAGCUCGGAGCGGAGCUAUUUUUGCCAGCCACCCUCUCCCUGUCUCUCCGUGCCUCUCCUCUCUUUCACGGGCGCGUACGCACACGCAGGCACACACCCAGGCGGCCGGGCCCCCGGCCCCGACUCUGGGGGUCUCCGGCCGGGCCCCCCCCCCCUCCCCUCGGGCGGGCCGGGGGCGGCCCCCGGACGGCCGCGAUGCCGCCCGGCCCGGCCUCGGCCGGACCCGUCGGAGGGGCUUAGACCCAGCCCGCGACCCCCCCGCCCACCCCGGGGCCGGGGCCGGGGCCGGGGCCGGGGAGGGGGCGGCAUGAGACUCCGUCGCGGGGAGAGCAGCUCCGGCCCUGCGCCAGGGCCCGUCGAUGACGCCCAGGGGAGCCCGGGACGGGCCGAACCUCUCUCUGCACGGUAG
RNAcentral lists this long non-coding RNA (1286 nucleotides) under Ornithorhynchus anatinus (platypus). RNAcentral describes it as "lncRNA (ENSOANG00000051122.1)". The record is from RNAcentral. Lineage: Eukaryota; Metazoa; Chordata; Mammalia; Monotremata; Ornithorhynchidae.